RNAcentral lists this ribosomal RNA (483 nucleotides) under uncultured bacterium. Its description in RNAcentral is "partial 16S ribosomal RNA". It matches the Rfam family "Bacterial small subunit ribosomal RNA", at positions 30 to 506 of the family's 1533-position model. The record is from RNAcentral.
AUUGAACGCUGGCGGCAGGCCUAACACGUGCAAGUCGAGCGGAUGAAGGGAGCUUGCUCCUGGAUUCAGCGGCGGACGGGUGAGUAAUGCCUAGGAAUCUGCCUGGUAGUGGGGGAUAACGUCCGGAAACGGGCGCUAAUACCGCAUACGUCCUGAGGGAGAAAGUGGGGGAUCUUCGGACCUCACGCUAUCAGAUGAGCCUAGGUCGGAUUAGCGAGUUGGUGGGGUAAAGGCCUACCAAGGCGACGAUCCGUAACUGGUCUGAGAGGAUGAUCAGUCACCCUGGACCUGAGACCCGUUCCAGCUCCCUACGGGAGGCAGCAGUGGGGAAUAUUGGCCAUGGGGCGAAAGCCUGAUCCAGCCAUGCCGCGUGUGUGAAGAAGGUCUUCGGAUUGUAAAGCACUUUAAGUUGGGAGGAAGGGCAGUAAGUUAAUACCUUGCUGUUUUGCCGUUACCAACAGAAUAAGCACCGGCUAACUUCGU